RNAcentral lists this ribosomal RNA (476 nucleotides) under uncultured bacterium. RNAcentral's name for it is "bacterial SSU rRNA". It matches the Rfam family "Bacterial small subunit ribosomal RNA", at positions 31 to 507 of the family's 1533-position model. The record is from RNAcentral.
GAACGCUGGCGGAAUGCUUACACAUGCAAGUCGAACGGUAGAGGGGGCAACCCCGUUGAGAGUGGCGAACGGGUGAGUAAUAUAUCGGAACGUGCCCAGUCGUGGGGAUAACGUAGCGAAAGUUACGCUAAUACCGCAUACGAUCUAAGGAUGAAAGCGGGGGAUCGCAAGACCUCGCGCGAUUGGAGCGGCCGAUAUCAGAUUAGGUAGUUGGUGAGGUAAAGGCUCACCAAGCCAACGAUCUGUAGCUGGUCUGAGAGGACGACCAGCCACACUGGAACUGAGACACGGUCCAGACUCCUACGGGAGGCAGCAGUGGGGAAUUUUGGACAAUGGACGCAAGUCUGAUCCAGCCAUUCCGCGUGCAGGAUGAAGGCCCUCGGGUUGUAAACUGCUUUUGUACGGAACGAAAAGGUUUCUAUUAAUACUAGGAGCUCAUGACGGUACCGUAAGAAUAAGCACCGGCUAACUACGUG